RNAcentral lists this ribosomal RNA (254 nucleotides) under uncultured bacterium. RNAcentral describes it as "partial 16S ribosomal RNA". It matches the Rfam family "Bacterial small subunit ribosomal RNA", at positions 524 to 777 of the family's 1533-position model. The record is from RNAcentral.
UACGGAGGGGGCUAGCGUUGUUCGGAAUUACUGGGCGUAAAGCGCACGUAGGCGGCUUUGUAAGUUAGAGGUGAAAGCCCGGGGCUCAACUCCGGAAUUGCCCUUAAGACUGCAUCGCUAGAAUUGUGGAGAGGUAAGUGGAAUUCCGAGUGUAGAGGUGAAAUUCGUAGAUAUCGAGAGGAACACCGGUGGCGAAGGCGGCCUUCUGGACAGUGACUGACGCUGAGACGCGAAAGCGUGGGGAGCAAACAGGG